GCUACUACAAGAUAGGGUUACGUAUUCAUCUCCGUGCAAUUUUAAAAGUGCGGACGAUUUGUGGCAACGCCGUUUUCUGUUUUCUGUCAUCGACAGGACCAUCCUCUUCUCGCUUUUUCAUCACCAAACGUCGGAUUGAGGUUAGGAUCCUCACGUGUUCUUCAACACCAACACACAGAUUUCAGCACAGGCAAUCGGUCAAUUUGUACCGCAAGUGUGUGACUGUCUUGUGGAAGUCCUUCGAGAGCAGGUAAAGUUACCCACAUGCUCCGACGAAUGGAAACGAAUCGCGCAAGGCUUUCAAGACAAAUGGAAUUUUCCACAUGCAAUCGGAGCAAUUGAUGGAAAACACGUUAUGAUAAAGUCUCCUCCACAUAGUGGAACCGACUAUUUUAAUUACAGAAGGCAUUUUAGCAUCGUUCUGCUAGGUGUAGUUGAUGCCAACUGUAAUUUUAUGUAUGCAGACAUUGGCGCAAAAGGUCGAAUAUCUGA
Anopheles arabiensis is the source of this 492-nucleotide long non-coding RNA. RefSeq lists it as uncharacterized. NCBI's taxonomy places the organism in Eukaryota, Metazoa, Arthropoda, Insecta, Diptera, Culicidae. The record is from RefSeq and is a predicted model, not a curated record. The transcript is spliced from 3 exons.